This 47-nucleotide small RNA is filed under the name Arabidopsis thaliana (thale cress). RNAcentral describes it as "ATSL220280". Lineage: Eukaryota; Viridiplantae; Streptophyta; Magnoliopsida; Brassicales; Brassicaceae. The record is from RNAcentral.
AAUCUUUUUGGCUUCUUGUGUCCUUUUCUCUCUUAUCCCCACCCACU